Molecule: ribosomal RNA, 253 nt
Filed under: uncultured bacterium
Lineage: Bacteria
Description: partial 16S ribosomal RNA
Rfam family: Bacterial small subunit ribosomal RNA
Source: RNAcentral
UACGAAGGGGGCGAGCGUUGUUCGGAUUUACUGGGCGUAAAGGGCGCGCAGGCGGCUCAUUUUGUCAGGCGUGAAGGCCCCGGGCUUAACCUGGGAACUGCGUUUGAUACGGAUGGGCUAGAGUUCGGGAGAGGAGAGUGGAAUUCCCAGUGUAGAGGUGAAAUUCGUAGAUAUUGGGAAGAACACCGGUGGCGAAGGCGGCUCUCUGGACCGAGACUGACGCUGAGGCGCGAAAGCGUGGGGAGCAAACAGG